Molecule: ribosomal RNA, 344 nt
Filed under: uncultured Variovorax sp. FR059
Lineage: Bacteria; Pseudomonadati; Pseudomonadota; Betaproteobacteria; Burkholderiales; Comamonadaceae
Description: bacterial SSU rRNA
Rfam family: Bacterial small subunit ribosomal RNA
Source: RNAcentral
GAGUUUGAUCCUGGCUCAGAUUGAACGCUGGCGGCAUGCCUUACACAUGCAAGUCGAACGGCAGCACGGGAGCAAUCCUGGUGGCGAGUGGCGAACGGGUGAGUAAUACAUCGGAACGUGCCCAAUCGUGGGGGAUAACGCAGCGAAAGCUGUGCUAAUACCGCAUACGAUCUACGGAUGAAAGCAGGGGACCGCAAGGCCUUGCGCGAAUGGAGCGGCCGAUGGCAGAUUAGGUAGUUGGUGAGGUAAAGGCUCACCAAGCCUUCGAUCUGUAGCUGGUNUGAGAGGACGACCAGCCACACUGGGACUGAGACACGGCCCAGACUCCUACGGGAGGCAGCAGA